AAGAAAAAAGAAAACGAAAAAUAAAUAAACAAUGAAAAUAUUAUAAUAUACCAUGAUGAUAACAAUGUAUAUAUUAUACAGUAUAAGCUUAUAAUACGUGAGAAUACUAUGUAUAGCUAUAUAAAUACAUACAAAUAUCAAAAGGUUAGUUGCGUCCGACAAAUUUAAAAUUGACUUCCUAUAUCUCAGCGGACACUAUUACGUAGGUAGGUAUCUAUUUCAUUUAAAAAUAUACAGCCCUAUAUAAAUAACUAAAUUAGUAUAAACUAAUAACUCAUUUAUUCGUGCACGGCCGAUCUUUAUAAUGUUUAACUAUAUUAAUUAAUGGUAAAUAACAUUUAAAACAUUUAAUUUAAAUACUACGAACUAUUUCGUUAGAAUCGCCCUUGCAAAAAAUAAUCGUUCGCGUUAGAAGAGUGAUAAAUAGAUACCGAAGUCGUACGUCCGAAAUGGUACUCGUGCAUAAAAAUUGCCAUCCGAAUUGGUUUCCACCGAAGGGAUUUUUAUGAUUUCUGAGAUUAUAUUAUACAUAUAACUAAUGAGAUUUACGAAAUGUCAACCCACAAAUAAAAUGAGUGCAAGAUGAUGCAAAAUAAUGUGACGUAGGUACAAUAUAUGAAAAUCAAAAUUUACAUUGGCAUAGAUUUUAAAUAGACAAAUAUAAUGUGUUUCAAGAUAUUAUUUAAAAUGUUCACAGACCAGGAUAUUAAUAUUGUAAUAUUGCGUUUGGUUACGAUAAUUUAAAGAGGAUUGUUUUGAAUGAACUAUAAAAUAAUUAGAUAAAAAGUUCGAAUAGGGGACCAAUUCCAUUAAAAAUAUAUAGUUCGAAACUACAGGAAUGUGACCGAAAAAUGACGUCUCUUUAUUAUAUCAUAAUAUUAAUAAGUCUAAAAUACCAAAUCCAUUGGUUAUGUAAACCAUAUAAUACACCUAUAUUUAUCACGUGAGUGUACUUUUAUUUAAAAAGCAUAAAACUAUUCACAUAGGAACGCACAUUAGACGCACAUAAUGAUAAAUUCAAUAUGGGUGUCGACUGCCAGUGUACCUAUGUAUGUAAAUAUAGGGAGACAGGUGGCAUAUACCAGCUCCAUUGGACAUUAUAAUAACAUAUUAUAUUAUUAUAGUCUGCGAAUAAAAACAAAAAUUACGCUUCGCGUACGGCAUACAAUAACAGAUAGGUUUAAGACACGUAUAAUAUUAUAAUACCACUGCAGUGUAUAAUAUGAUAUUAUAAUAUGUCGUACGUGUGGUUUUAAACGCGCAAAACCGCUCGGCCGUUACUAAACGCACAUAACAUUAAUAUCGUGGCAUAAUAAUAAUAUACAUGCAUACGACCGCCAUCGGCACCACCGACGCUCUCGGUAGUUCAUAUUAUACACGACAAAGAGUAGGAUAUAACUGGUUGAAAAGUUAAAUUUUUUAGACUUUUUAACCUAUUGUUAUACAGUAGAUUUUAAACUAUCCAUAUUAUAAUAACUUGGGUUUUUAAAAUUAACUCGAACAACAGUACGUUAACUUAAAAUCAAACUUGUACACAAUUUAUUAUCUAUAUAUGUACAGUAUUAAUUAAAAAAACAAAUUAAUUAAAUAUUUUUCGUAUAAUCGCUUUAAUAUUAAUUAUUACAAACAAUAUGAUCCAAGAAAACCAAUAAAUGUGUCCAAGAAACGUGAAAUAUUUUAUUAUUUUUAUUUUUAUAUUUAUUAACGCAAAUCGGCUUUUACAAGAUAGAAUAUAAUGAAGAUACACAACAAAAUAUACAAGAUAAGUAUUAAAGUAACAUAUUAUAUGAGUGAUAUACAGUAACAACAAUAGACAAAUAGCCUAGGUAUGAAUACGUCACGAAGCAUACGAAUUGUAUUCAUUGUAAAGAGGGGUGCAUUAGCGGAAAAGUUAGACCGUCUUUGGUAUGUAAAAAGCCACUAUACAGAUUGUUUUCAACAAGGAUAUUAUGAAUUAUGCUGUACCUAUUUUUAUCAAAAGUUGCACAGUAAUCACAAUGUGAAUUAACCAAUUUCUUUUUUACCAAGCUAAAUAUAUAUUGUUAUUGCCAGCUUAUUAACUUAUAAGUGAGUUAUAACUUAACGUUCUGAACUUGCCCACCAUUAUUCAUCAGAUAGCAAGCAAAACCCAUCGUGCUUUGUUAUUUUAUAACCCCUUGGACAGAUAAAAAAACGAAUCGUUUAAUCAUGCGUGUACGGUCGAACAGGAGCCAAAUAAUAUUGCAUACAAACUAUAGUCGAUUGCGAUAAUAACAAUAUAAUAAUACACACGAGCAUGCGAUGGCUAUAAUAUAAUCGUAUAAUAUAAUAGUAAUUUAUUAUAAUAAAUACUUCGCAGCCGGAGAUUUCCGCACACACGCGUUUCUGCAACAACUUACAUCUCCGCAAGUGCAAUAAUAUUAACUCAACGGUGGCAACGCCCUAAAUCAAAUCUGAGCGUUCGUGUUACAUAAAAUGUAUAACGAAAAAAAAAUAAUAAAUAAACACGAUUUUUCCCGGACGACCUUGACGGUCACGACUACCUCGAGAACCAUGUCUAGCGUUGUGUAUGUGUGAGAGAGAGAAAAAAAGCGAAACCGCACAAGUAAUAUAAUAUUAUAUUAUAUAAAUAUAGCAGAGGCAUGCGGGCCAACCCCCGGGGGUCUGUUUCGCGAGAUCCGCUCGGGCGUGGUACCGCAGCCGCCAACGACCUUGCCCCGCCGAUCAGCGCUCCGAUUUAAAUUAUUAUUAUUAUUACGUGUAUAAUUAUAUGAUAUUACUGCACUGAAGUUUGGCCGAUGGGUUGUUUUUAUUAAUAUUAUUAUUAUAAUAUGGAUUUGGUUUUAUUUUUUUAUUUUUCGCGCACUGCUCCUGACAUGUCAUGUGUGUGUGUACGGUUCGUAUCGCGAUAUUUAAAUUUGCAUUUUAAGCGAGAGCAAAACGCUCGGCCGUGAAGACAAUUUUCGUUUCACGGUAUUAGUGUUAUAAAUUACGACGAUAGGUAUAAUAGCAAUAUAAUAAUAAUGCGUGCGCUUUGUAUUAUGCGUAUACCUACUUAUAAAAAUAUAAUACAGGUAAUAUUAUAAUGUGCGAAGAGUCUUAUUAAAAUUUAUCGUAUAGGUUUACCUCCCUAAGAUAUAGUGGUCGCGCGAUACAUAUUAUUAUUAUCAUUAUUAUAGUACCUAUAUUAUAUGCGAUUAUAAUCGAAUUAUUACGAUGAUCCGACGUGCCGUGCAAAACGAAUUAUCGAAAUCGAGAUCCGUGUGCGGUCGGCGUGUACACUGUACAUAUAACGCACGAGAAUAAUAAGCGGGUGUGAUUAUUUUUUUUCUCGCUCGGGCCAAAUUAUGCAAUGUUGCGCAUAUGACUUAACCACGUUUAACAUUGUAUACACCAUACACUAUAGAACCUCGAUGGUCCGAACGAAUUCAGAGGCGGAAUCCGAGUGUCAUCCGGAUUACUGCAUGAUGUUUUUCAAUGGCACUUGAAUAAACGAGACAUGUUGUUCUUCCGCACCUUUAUUAUUUUCGUAUUUUCUAUUGUUCUGAUAAAAAAAAUAAGAAAUCUUAAAAAAUAAUUACAUAAUAUUACGAUGUAAUUAUGUGUCCCAAAUUGGAAUUUAGUUAAUUUAAUUAUUUAUCAGUGAUAAAAUCAAUAACAUUGGUUUUGAGUAGCUGGAGUCUUUUUAAAAAAUGCUGCGGGGCUCAGUAAUCGCGAGAGGCGAGGAGGCCAGGAGGGGAUCCUAAAUUCCUAAAUAACGAAAUUAUUGUAGUUCAAUAAAUUUAUCACUAUGUGUAUAGACUAAAUUAAAAUAUGGACAUAUAAAUUUUAAUAUUUCACCUAUAGGCAAUAGGUGAGUAUUACAAAACGUAUCUGACAUAAUAUUACAUUAUAUUAUGAUAGGUAUUACUUAUUAUUAAUAAUAUGAUAUACGCGGACGGUAUGCGUAUAACGGGAUUUAUUUUACGAUAAUAUUAUUAAAUUAUGUUUUUGUCGUCGCAGCGAAAUACAUUUCAUUAAAAUACUACACCUACGCUGCAGUAUGUAUCUAUUAUAUAUGCGUAGGCCUAUACCCCGAGCCGUUGAAUUUUAUAACGGAUCGUGUUUUUUAUUCUCCAAUGAAACGGCGAGAGUAAAAAAAACUCGAUACCAUAUGUAUAAUACUCAACAUAUUAUUAUAAUAGUUAAAAAUGGAAUUUGGCUGCGGCAUGAACGCAUUUGCAGGUACAUGUGCUGUACAAUAAUAUAUUAAUAUAGACGAUCAUCACACACCAUGUACCUAUAUAAAUCCGAUCGUAUAGACCGCUAGCUAAUUCACGAUCAUACCACAAUAUUAUAUUAUGUCGUCUUUGUACCGCCAAGCUCAAUAAUAUCUACGUAUUUAUUCUACUCUGUAUUCAAGCCAACAAUAUUCUUUAAACCACUCUUUUCGGAACUUCCUUCCAUUUUUGACAGGAAACGUUAGAUCCAUUGGUUGAAACAGACCUUUAUUUAGACUGAGAAACAUUAUUAUACGUCAUUAUAGGUAUUAUUAUUUAUUAUAGGCCUCAAAACAGCUUGAAAUUAACUAAUAUUAUAUUUCAGUUUGUGGGGGGAAAGCCCCCACCAAUUUUAGACUGUGGAGGCAGUUGCCCCCAUUCGCCCUCGCCAAGUUACGCCUAUGGUAUACAAUGAAAAGCGACAUAUGGGUACAAAUUACUUACACUCACUUAGUCUCUUGUAGAUUAUUAUUCGAUUUAAGAUGAUUAUGACUUUUGCAAAUUUUUCUAUCAUCAAUCGUGCGUUGUCGCAUUGCAGACCCAAAUAAAUUAUAAAUCCAUUUGGUACGAUACAGAAGCAAUUAUAUUACAUUUUAUUUUGCAUUUAAUAAAUGCAUUAUUUUUUGCUCAUUUUCUGUAUAAAUCAUAUAUUUUAAGACAUUUUUCUACAAUUUCGUAUUUCAUAAAACAUUUUUAAAAAUAUUAGUUAACUAAUUAUGUAUUGAGGCUUAUACACGUUACACAAGCGUGCUAUACAAUAUAUAAUAUGCAGCUUCCGACAUACGCCCAUAGGUAGGUAAAAUAUUGAACGCGUGAAUAUGAGUCGUGUUUUAUUAGUAAUCUAUAAAAAUGUGUAGUAUAAUUUCUGCAUGCAUUCUGCAUUCUGCAAGCAUACCAUUUAGUUUUUUUAGGUCAUAAACAUAAUAUUCUAACCCUAUAAUUGUUAUAAAAUCCGCGUCGAUUAAAUCACUGAAUUUUCUAUCUUCCCGACAACCAUAAUAAGGUUAAUGUCACCAUCGCGCGACUCAAUUCCGAGAAACUCAAAAUUUCGUAUAUUACUGUUGUCUACCGUUUCGUCGUUACAAUAAUAAUAAUAAUAAUAUAUUAUAAUAUGUAGAUAAUAUCAUGGCGGUGCGCACACGACAAAUUAUAACGACCGUGAUAUUGGUAUAUAAUAUUAUGCCAAUCGCCGCCUAUCGACGUGCACUGGACAUAAACGAGUGAAAAUCCGUUUAGAAAAUGUGUUUGUAUAUUAAUGCGCGGCGGUCAUUGGACCUGCGACCACGGCAGCACCGACAGUCGAAUUUGUUUUCCAUUCGUCUGGUGUCCAUCAGUCGCAUAAUAAAUAUUAUUAUUAUUAUUAUUAUUAUUAUCGGCGUCGGUGUUCGCGGGUCAUUUUAAAACCUUUUAGGCGCGCGCCACACCUUGCACACGGGCUUGCACGUCCGAUUUGUAACCUAUCGGCGGAAAUGAAAAAUUCCUAAUUAGCUCUCGUCAGUGUGACAUACUAAUAACAUAUAAUAUAAUCAUCAUGGUGUCACGUUAACAGGGGUUUAUAGCCAGAUACCACGCGUAUCGUACCCACGGCUAUAUAGAUGCCAUAAUACUUCCCGGCCUUCCCGCGUGAAUCAAAAUGUAAAAUUCGUCGUCCAUCGUGUGUGCACGCCAAGUUCACUAGCAAGUUUUGCACACGUGGGGGUUAGGUUAGGUUGUCGGGUUUCUCAAAUGUUAUUUUAAUUAUAUUAAUAUCGUCAUUAAAUAUUAACGCGCCAAAAUUGUUUUUUCACGCCGGUUAAAUGCGGAUAGUUUUAGUGAAAAUAAAAACUGUUAGAAAGCCCGAAAAAAACCAAUCGCAUCACACAUCCUAUACCUAGAUAUAAGCGACUAUUUUAUGUGGCAUAAUAUGAUGGAAUUGACCUCUGGACACGAUCAGUUAUUAAAUAAUAAUAAUUUAUAAUACAUCGUAGUGGUGUAAAUAUAUUCAUAUUUGUAUUAUUUAUAAAUAUUAUGGUAAUCGUACGGAAUACUAUCUCCUGUAAUAUUCUCCAAACCAAAAAUCGAACUAACCCUUCGUACCGAAUAUACACGCCAUUAAGAUCAUAUGAUAUUGCAGGUAAACAUCUCGUAAACGUUAUGAUCGAUGGUUGAACAAUAUUAUGACGUAUUACCUGCGGCUGUAUAAUAUAUUAUUAUAGUACCGAAUAAUAUACGAUUUAUAUACGUGUUUAAAUAAUAUUAUUUUCGUACGCGGGUCAUCAUGACGAGCCAACAUAAUAUUCAUAAAUUAUUUAUUAUCACGAUAAUAUUUUAACUAUCCCCAUAACGCAAAAUAUAAUAUUAUGUAUUACGAAAACGAUUGCGUUUAAUAUGUUAGUAAUUAUUUAAAUAAGUACAUUUAAUUAUCUGCAAUUUGAUGUCACCGUCCUUCAGAUCGGGAUUAAAAGAGAUAAUUGUACUAGCAUAUAUAGGUACAAGUUUUGUCGUAAUACCUAAUAAAAAAUUAUAUGAAUAUCAAUUAUACGUCGAAUGGUGUACAAAAUAAUUACAUUAGCGAUAUUCGAAAAAAAUUUGAAUAAUAACUUUUAUUAGUAUGAGUAUUAAUAUUAUAAUAAUAUGUUAAAUUUCUAGAAAUAAUAAACCUCUAUAGUAUUACACAAUACAUAUUUAUAAAGAUAAUUAAUGCAAGAACUACCCGCACUGGAAUACAUACAUAGAAACGAUAAUAAUAUGAACUAUUUACGCGUGAGAAUAAAAAUCCGAUCAACCAAAAAAUAUUUCAUAAUAAUAUAUUAUAUUAUUAUCGUCACGACGACGUUCUUUGUACAAAGUUGAAGGAUACGGAUCCGGGAUGAUAAUGCACACGCAGUCUAUUAAAGACUAUUUUUCAGAUGCUAUAAUAUUAUAUCUUGUAAUAAUAAUAAUAUCCAUUAUCCAUAAUAUUAUUAGUUAGCCACAUCACGCUUAUGCAUACAGCGUUUACCUAUCUACCUAUACGUUUCACACGCAGUGUCAGGACGACAUACAUAUCGUAGGUACUACCUUAAUGUGUAUUUAAUAAUAUAAUAAUUUAUAUGUGUGAUUAAAUUACAGGGUGAACCGGGGCCGUAUAUUAUAAUAUAAUGGAUGUAUUAGCUAGGAUAUUAUGAUGAUGCGGUGUAACUUGUAGGUAAGUAUGCAUUUUGGUGUUGCAUAACAAUAAAACGGUCGUUAGCGGCGAGGGUGACUACUGCAGGAAAUAAUAUACAGAAUGUUUCAUAUUAUAAUAAUACUCAGCAUUAACAAAAUGUUAAUAUCUAUUAUUAAACAAAAAAAAAUGUAAGUUGCUCAAUCACUCUAUACGUGUAAAUCGGGUUAUAAUUUUAAAAAAUGAUAAUUAACUAGGUAGAUAAUUAUCUAGGUAGAUACUUUUUAACCAAAUUAAGUUAAUAUAUAUCUUCGCUUCAAACUUUUAGGGUGAAAUAUUAUAUACCUACCAUAACUGUUUGUUAACUAUACGUUAUUGACGUUGACUUAACCAUUGAUUAAAUACAAAUUUUGUAGACAAAAAUUAUAGGCAAUUCAAGUUAGCUUCUUCUAUAUUAAUGUGCACACCUUUGAUACUAUUAAAUCAGUAGUUGGUAGUUGGUACUUACCGGUCACUAUACAGUAUACACCGAUCAUAAUAUUAUCAUUAACUAUAAUUAUUUAAGAAAAACAUUAUUUUUUUCUCCAAUCGGGUGAGGACCGAAAUGAAAGUUGUAUUCGGCUACUCGAUGUGAACCGCUCGUAUAUAUUGGCAUAUAUAAUAUAUUAUUUUAUGCGGUGGUAUUUACAUAUGUAUACAUAUAUUAUAUGCAUUGAUGGCGAAACCUAUCGCCGCAUACGUCAAGUGCGAGUGACGUAAUAAUAAUAAUAACAUCGUAUAGCGAUUUGGGCCGACCGCGUACGUUUAAUAAACUAAAUAUUUAUAAUAUAUAAAACAAUAUUAUAAUACAGUAUGUGAAUAAUUAUUGAGGAGAUGAUUGUGGUGUAAACAAUAACAGCCUAGACAAUAGUAUCCGAAAGCGCCGUGGAAGUGAAGACUUUUUAGAAACCGUUUAUAUAGGAGAGGUGCGUACGAGAGGAACUCAGCCCGUCUGCCGAAGACGGAUAUUCGUCUACGCGUUUCAGUUUUCACAAAACACAACAUGAAUUUUAUAUGAUGGAACACCAGAUCGUCAUAUAUAGUCUUGUAAAUGCUUAGAAAUGUUUGGAGAGUAUCGUCGAUGUAUAUAAUAAUAAUUAUUAUUGUAUAAGAUUAUAUAGGUACGGUCCGUGCAGCAAAUAUGUAUAUUAUAUAUAAUAUAUAUCUAUAUCGUUUAUAUACAGGUGCAGACGACAAUUAUAAUUGUUUGGGAAUUGCGUAGAUCCAUCCACAUACUAGCUAUAAUAUGUAUUUAAUACGCAUUAUAGCCACAGCCCAAAACAGUUUUUGCGUAAAAAAAAACGUGACAAUAUAAUAGUAAUAAAAAAUCUGUUUACCACGAAACGGCAUUAUUGUUCAUUCUGCUCUAUUUGAUGAUCGUAUUUAUAUUAUAAUAUAUUUCCUGCAGUUCAAAGUAUGCCACUCAAACAUUGCGGGACGAUAAAAAAAAAAUUCAAAAGUAUUUAUUGUAUUAUUAUACGAAUAGUCGACGCGAUGCAGACGAUGUAUCGCUCGUAGAACCACAGCGAACGUGGGUACAGAAAAACUGCGAUGCUCGAAAAUUGACGAAACAUUUAACCGUUAUGUAAAAUUAAACGGUUGAGACGAUGACCGUCUGCGUCCCAUAUAUUAUAUUGGCUGCUGCAUAAUCUAUAUAAUAUAUACACUGCAGUAAGACGUGUGUCCUAUAUUUCGCUGCAGCUGAUGCAAUGAAGGUAGGGGGAGCAGAGUUCGCGUAUAUACUGCGUUUUGCCAAUAAAUAAUAUCUCACACAUUGAAGACUCGGAAUAAUAUUAUUAUAUAAUAUGAUGUACAGAACGGUUUUCAAAGAGUCGAUCGUCCGACAAAAAAUUAAAAACUAUGGUCAUAUAUAUUAUAUAUACGAUAUACCUACCACUUGAUUUAUACGCGCGCCACGCUGAUCGAUAGAUCUCCCCUGGGGAGUCCAUUAAAAAACGACGUGAUAGAAUAUACCUAUACCCAUACCUAUACCUUUAUGUAUAAUAAUAAUUUAAUAAUGUACCGCACGACAACGAAUCAGCCGGUCGCGCGCGAGAAUAUCGCUUUUACUUAUCGUACCCCUCGAGCCAAACGUUUCUCCCCCGAUUAUCAUUAUUAUUACUAUUUGCCAAUUCGUAUUUACAAUAUAUUAUAUACGUUCGCGUGUGUUGGUCUGCGCGCGCAUUAGUAUGUAUAUAGUUACGACAUUGCACUUUUGCCCGCGCUAAAUCGCAGUAUUAUAUAUAGCUACUAUUACUACUACUUAUUACUGUUAUUAUCAUAUUAUAACAUAUACUAUAAUACUUUCACUGGGCGCGCGUAUUUGCACACGCAUCGUAUACCUGUAUAAUGCGUAUAUACUUAGAGCUAUAAGCAUGAACGUGAAUAUCAUACUAUUAUUGUUAUUAAUAUUAUUAUUAUUGAUAUACCUACAUAUAGACAAGCGGCAAUAACGAUUUCACGGAGGCGAUUUCAUAUUAUAAUACACAUACCUAUAUAACAUACAGAGUGUAUCACCCAUUCACCUAAAUUGUUGUUUAUAUAUAUUAGAUAUUUAUCUAUCCUACUCUCGCUCAUACUUUGAGAUGCACCUAAAACUAUUUCAAUAGUUAAUAGAAAUAAUAAACUGGCAUAAAUAAUAAAUUAUUAAUAAGUAAUAACCUGCAAUAAAACUAUCAUACAUCCCUGUACUAGGAUAAUAUAUAUAUAUAGAUACCACAGCAUCAAUCAUUAUAACCAAAUUAAAAUAUUUAAAAAAUAUAAACUUUAAAAAAGUUAUCGAAAAUCAUAGUGCUGCCAACACUGCAGUUAUGCGUUUACAGAUGCUCCUGCGAGUGGACAGUAUAAAGUCUCCAGUAUAUUCGUACAUUAAGCUAAAUAAUAAAUAAUAUUAGGUACGUUAUUAUUAUUGUAUAGUCUCUUAGUUUUGUUUCCUUUUGGCUUUUAGUGAUAUUUUGUCCCUCUCAGUUCUGACAACCACCAACUACACGAAAAUUAAACUUCUAUUACUAUGCAUUUCAUAUAGCAAGGUAGGUAUAAAUACAUAAUGUCUGGUCACAUAAUACAUUAUAUUAUUAUAUACAUAUUUAUAACUAUUAAGUUCAGUAUUUAAUUUUAUAUUGCUCAUCUCUAAUAUCUUUAAAAUAUUUAUAAAAACAAAUAUAUAGAUGCAUAAACCGUGAAAUGGAAUCGACACGUAUGUCAAUUAUUAUAAGUUAUAACCUAUAACAGGUACACCUAUACCUGUACAAAUAUAAUGAUGCUAUAUUAUAUCGUCGGGAAACGAUACGACGCGUGUCCCGUCGAUACGGUCGUUUCGCGCUUAUAACAAUAUUACCUAUACGUAUAGACAUAUAGUAAAUUAUAAUUACUUAUAUAUCAUAUUAUAUCGUAAACGAUAAUAUUAUUAUUAUUGUUGUCGAUGUUGUACAGUGUACAUACAAUUCAUACAUAGUACCUACUAUUUGUGUGCGUAUAUAAUAUGUGUAUAUAUGCAGUAUAAAAUGAACAGUAUAAAAUGUGACGUUUUCGUAUCAAAACGCGUGCACAGAGAAAAAAAAUGAUAAUGACAAUAAUGUUUGACGUUCCGGUGAAAGGUUUGUUUAUGUAUAUAAUAUUAUCAUUGUGAGACACAAACGGUUUUGCGGUUUAUUUAUUUUGUCAAAUCCGUACCGUUUUGCCAGCCAUUAAGAAUGAUAAUGCGAAAGGGAAAAAACGUUCCGACACACGUCCGAUUUCUAAUAUGUUCCCAUUAUCGGCGCAUUUCAUAAAUAUAUAUAACAAUUCUAUAUAAUUUAUAGAACGCUUCUCCGGCAAUCGCAAUUUUCGAGGAGUUUAGAGGUGGAGUAGGGGGGAUGGUUCUCCCACACAAACGAGCGUCAUUAUAUCUAUCCGACCGAAUCGGAAAAUCGAUGAGUGAAAAUAAUGAUAAUGAUCGUAUAAUAAACUUAGUCGAUGUAUCUAUAUAUGCAUUUAUAUAUAUAUUAUAUACACGCACAACACUAUGUACCUUUAUUGUAAUAUCCGUCAGCCGAGUUUGUUUUAAAUUAAGCUAUUACUUCUAUACCUAUACUCAGCCGGUCGUGAAAUAAUAUUUUCUAUGAACUAUCGCUGUAUAGUCCUUCUAUAAUAAUAAAUAAUAAUUAUAUAUUGUAUGGGAUUUUAUGACGAAACGCUUGUGCCGCAUUGUUAUAUUCGAAGAUUUUUCCCUUUGAUUUCUUGACUUGUGUCCUAUAUGUAUAUUAUUAUUUAUUGUAAGCGUUAAAAUAAUAUAAACGUCUUAUCUAAUCUCGUACAUUGAUCUCAAAAAAUUAUAAUAUCAUACUGCUGAAUAUAUUAUAUAUUUUUUAUUAGUAUUAUAAUAUAUUGUUAGGAAUAAAAAUAAAAAACGGGUAAAACAUUUCGCUCCUUAAGUGUACACCUCCUAAUAAUAUUUAAUAAUAGGAAUUACUAUUAAAAUAUAUAUAUAUAUUAAUGACCGUUAAGAUCGAAAAUGAAUGAACACAUUAACACAUAAAAAUCAUUAGCACGUGUGAAACGCUCAAACCUUACUUUAAUUAUUUUACUCCCAAAAUGCGUUUAUCGAGGCCGCUCAUCUAUAUAGCAGGCAUAGAACUGUAUAGGUCACAGCAAGGCGUGGGUUUUCACGAAAAACUUGUGUUUGUGUUUGUGAAAAAAAAACCUAAUACCUAUAUCAAAUAUUCGCAGUAGGUACGUAACAUAAUAUAAUACUACAAUGAAUAUAGCGUGUAUACCGUAUAUACACCUGAAGUAAUAUUAUAUAAGCUAAUAAUCGAUAGCUUCUAUAGAUAUUGUUUAACAGGUCCAGUGAAUUACUCAUACAACUAUUUAGAAUGUAUUUAGAUUUUUGUGAUUCCAUUUCCAAUAAGAUAACAACGAUUACUUUUUCGUACAAUAACUUUACUGUUCCUUGUUUAAAUUUUGAGUGUAUGAUUUAUUAAUGAAAUAUUUAUUAAAUAAAUAAAUUAAAAUUUCAAAACGAACAUCAGCAAUCAACCCAUCAUCACAAACAUUUAAAAUUUGUGGGGGCGGAGAGAGUAUGAUAUAAAUGACAAAAUUUGUGUUACAAAAAAUUAUAGUAUAAUCAAUUGGGAUGUACAUAUAUUAUUGAUGUAGCUAUAUUAUUUUUCCAAACAAUGUCGUGUUCAAACAAUAAUAUAGUUUGAAUUCAAGGUUGCUACUUGCGAUGGUCCUGCGUAAGUACGAAACCGUCUAAUUUAUAUAUUAUAGCUACUGAAACUGAAGUACAACAACACAAGAUACAAAUGAUACGAUAAAUCGUAAUAAUCAUAAUUUUAUUGUAAUCGCUUAUUUAUUGGGUAGAUUUUAUUAACCAGAAGCUGGAAAGAGUGCAAUCGAGGUUAAUUAAUAAAUCACACGACGAUAUAAGAACAACCUACCUAUGUCUAUCUAGGUAUUCUAGGAUACCUAACUAUCAAACGAUGAUAAUAACAAUAAUAAUAAUACAUGAUAAUAAUAUAAGAAAUUACCAGAAAAUAAACACGCCACGGAACAAUGCAAUCAGCGUUACGAAAUAAUAAAAAAUAAUUAAUAAAAUGCACUCGAUGUCCAAAUUGAUUUCUCGUAACAUAUUACUACACAGUAUAUAGUAUGGGGAGCUUUUGUUGACACGAUAAUAUUAUUAUUGUUAAUAAUAUAUAAACGUUAUAUAUAUAUAUAUAUGUCAUUCGAAAACGUAUAUUAUAGCAGCCGGCCGUUCAUAGAAACCGAAAAGUGAAAUUUUUUUCUUCGCGGAUACAGCAACAAUAUUAAUAAUAUCUGUGCGCUACACGCGUAUAUGUAUAAUUAUUAUAUGACUAUAGCUGACGAUAGCUGACGAUAAAAACACACAAAUCCGGAUACAGCUAGAGGCAUGUGAGAAAUAAUCAAAACUGACUUCUGUUUCCGAUUUCGAUUGUCGUCACCGCGUAAAAUGUUCAUCGUCGUAUUAUGGCACUACCCAAAAUAUUCUCAUAACUAUUGAUAAACUUACCACCCACAAUGUGUGACCCACCUCUACAAAAGUUAAGUUGAAGUUAUGUUUUUCAUUUAAUGUUAUUUUAUUAUAUUAUGGUGGUUUCAAUUGCACUAGUAAGUGGGUAUUUUUACGUUUGUAAAAUUAUUACACGUACUUAACCUAACCUAUGCCUAUAUAGUAUAUAUAUGUAUUCAUCUACAAAACUCCUCAUAAUUACCCUUAGGUAUUUAAAUGAGAAUACAUGCCUUAUUUACAUUUCUGACGACACUAUAUUGAACUUUUUUACUUUUUCGACAAGUUGUUCCAAGUGCCCCUCCGAGUGUCCUCUUUUCCUUUUUUUGUCAAAGGGAGAAAAAGGGAGAGCACACAUUGUAUUUAGAAUCACCAGUUUUACAGUGAGGCAUUUUAAUGAUACAUUUAAAUAAUCAAGAUUUUUUUUCCAUUGCCUAUUGCAAAGCAGGGUAUUAGGCCAACUAAUAAUAAAUAUAACUGGAUCUAUCGACUGACACUCGGCCACCCACUUUCAUUGAAGAGCAAUGUUUCUCCCGGAAAGCGCCUCCGACACUCCACUAUGUACCUAUAUUAUUAUUACACUUACUCGCGUUGUCCUGUUGUCAAUGGCGCGCGCUCAUUUUGCAUUGUGCGCCACGACUAACGAUAGAGACUACGGGUCAAGGCGUACCCGCCGGACGGCCCCCGCGACUGAUUUUUAAUUCUUUGCUGACCUCUCGCUUGGCGGACUUGGCAAUGCAAUUAUAACUGAGUUUCGGCUAUACGUUAUUCUACACGCAUACGACGCCCGGUAUAAUGUUCAGAAUACCGUCGUCGGGACCCGAUCGAAACCCAUAUCUAUACGGGUAUAUGGCUAUAGAUAUUAUAGUACAUAACUAUUUACUAUAUUAUUUACUGUCAAUCAUCAUACUUGCGUAAAUUCGGAGUACACUAUCAGGGGCCAUUUUUUAAAUGAUUAGAUUAUUACAACAUUUAACUCAUUUAAGGAGUAUCAUGUGGGCUAUGGUGAUACAAACUUAUAUUUUUUCAAAUGAUAACCAACCUUUUUUACAUUCAAUUAAGUAUUUUAAUUAAUUUUAUGUAUCUAGUUCAAACUUUGUUCAAGAGUUUCUAAGUUAAUGUAUAUACUAUGGACAAUAUUAUAGUCCUCAAAUAUGGUUUAUAAAACUAUCUAUUAUUUCCAAACCUAUUAUUUAUAUAAUAAAAAUACUAAAUAUCAGUUAAGUAUGCAGGUAAUUAAAAUACUAUUCGAUUUGGAAUUGAAUUUUUUGGAGAAUGUUGAUAUAGUUUACAUCAACAUUCUCCAAAGAAAUCAUAUUCUUAAGUACUUAAAAAUUAACAGAAAAAAUUUUGAUUCUGAUUUGAAAAAAAUAAGUUGCUAUU
This 14794-nucleotide long non-coding RNA is filed under the name Acyrthosiphon pisum (pea aphid). RNAcentral describes it as "uncharacterized LOC115033798". The record is from RNAcentral. Lineage: Eukaryota; Metazoa; Arthropoda; Insecta; Hemiptera; Aphididae.